RNAcentral lists this ribosomal RNA (491 nucleotides) under uncultured bacterium. RNAcentral's name for it is "partial 16S ribosomal RNA". It matches the Rfam family "Bacterial small subunit ribosomal RNA", at positions 28 to 507 of the family's 1533-position model. The record is from RNAcentral.
GAUGAACGCUGGCUACAGGCUUAACACAUGCAAGUCGAGGGGAAACGACGGGGAAGCUUGCUUCCCCGGGCGUCGACCGGCGCACGGGUGAGUAACGCGUAUCCAACCUGCCUCUGACUGAGGGAUAACCCGUCGAAAGUCGGCCUAAUACCUCAUGGCAUCGUCUGCGGGCACCCAACGACGAUUAAAGAUUUCAUCGGUCAGUGAUGGGGUUGCGUCUGAUUGGCUUGUUGGCGGGGGAACAGCCCACCAAGGCCACAAUGAGUAGGGGUUAGGAGGGGAAGGUCCCCCAGAUUGGAACUAAGACACGGUCCAAAAUCCUACGGGAGGGAGCAGUGAGGAAUAUUGGUCAAUGGGCGGGAGCCUGAACCAGCCAAGUAGCGUGCAGGGGGACGGCCCUAUGGGUUGUAAACUGCUUUUAUGCAGGGAUAAAGUGAGGGACGUGUCCUUCAUUGCAGGUACCGAAUGAAUAAGGACCGGCUAAUUCCGUG